RNAcentral lists this ribosomal RNA (253 nucleotides) under uncultured bacterium. RNAcentral's name for it is "partial 16S ribosomal RNA". It matches the Rfam family "Bacterial small subunit ribosomal RNA", at positions 524 to 776 of the family's 1533-position model. The record is from RNAcentral.
UACGUAGGGUGCAAGCGUUAAUCGGAAUUACUGGGCGUAAAGCGUGCGCAGGCGGUUUCGUAAGUCUGUCGUGAAAUCCCCGGGCUUAACCUGGGAAUGGCGAUGGAGACUGCGAGGCUAGAGUUUGGCAGAGGGUGGUAGAAUUCCACGUGUAGCAGUGAAAUGCGUAGAGAUGUGGAGGAACACCGAUGGCGAAGGCAGCCCCCUGGGUCAAAACUGACGCUCAUGCACGAAAGCGUGGGGAGCAAACAGG